GUGCUUGCUUCGGCCGCACAUGUACGAAAAUUGAAACGAUACAGAGAAGAUUAGCAUGGCCUCUAUGAGAGGAUGACAUGCAAAUUCGUGAAGCAGUCCAUUAUUAA
Molecule: small nuclear RNA, 107 nt
Filed under: Microcebus murinus (gray mouse lemur)
Lineage: Eukaryota; Metazoa; Chordata; Mammalia; Primates; Cheirogaleidae
Source: RNAcentral